Molecule: non-coding RNA, 3704 nt
Organism: Oryza sativa Japonica Group (Japanese rice)
Lineage: Eukaryota; Viridiplantae; Streptophyta; Magnoliopsida; Poales; Poaceae
Source: RefSeq, a predicted model, not a curated record
CCCAUUUAAAAAAAAAACAAACAUGAGUCAUGCCACAAUUAAAAAAUAGGUAGGUCCCACCACAAAAUACUUAUAACUUGGUAGUAAGCUUAUGGUUUAGUCGUAGCUAUUUACUACUUUCACAAUGUAUCUUACUUAGUAGUAAGAAUAUUUUAAUGUCUAAUACUCACCUUUUUCACUACAUUGUGAAUGUCCUAAUGACUAGGCUGCCGUGUCAGUCAAUUUGACACCAAUAAAAACCGUUUCCCAAACUAUUGAAGGAGUCAAUUUGCAUUAGUCCCUUUAAGUGGGGGAAGAGGUUUGGUUAAUAACCGAUUUUGCCAUUGAGUGAUGAGAUUCGAGCAAUGGCAAGAGUUGAAGGAGUCAAAAUAGACUUAUUCAAUAUUAGGCCUCUACACGAUGGGCCUUCACAACGCCACCCCUACGCCGACGCCGACGCCGACGCCGAUGCCGAUGCUGCCCUGGUUGCCGGCGGCGGCGGCAUCGACCGCGACCCCUCCCCGUCGGCGCCAACUUCUUCAAUUCCUUCCUCGAUGGCAUCGAAGGCCAAUUCCUGGCUGCCGGCGGCGGGGGCCCCGCGGUGCCCCUGGCCGGCCUCAACCCUCCCCGUUGGCGCCGAUUUCUUCAAUUCCUUCCACGAUGGCGUCGACGCAGUUGCCCCCAAGAACGGGCUGGUUGAGUGGAUGACCAGACUUUUUUUUUUUUUAUGAAGGUGGAUGACCAGACUGAUUGCUAUUCCCCAAUGCGAGGUUUUGGGUCCAAAAGUGAGCAGUCUGCAGAUGACCAGGACCGAUCCAUCUCCGAGGAAACUACUUUGUUUUUUUAUAUUAUUAUUAUUAUUAUUAUUAUUAUUAUUAUUAUUAUUAUUAUUAUUAUUAUUAUUAUUUUCUCGUGGAUUUAGUCAUUGCUACCAUGGAGCAAGCAUGCCGGCAGUCCACUUAUCCAAGACUCCAAGUCCAAGCCCCACUCGCUUGCUGGAAUAAAGAAAUCUCAGGCUUUUCUUCUACUAAGAGAUAAUGUAGGCAGUCAUUACCGUCGAAAUCAGCGACCUGCUUGAUGCCACCAUGGGGAGUGUGGAAUCUGCUGGUAGUGGUAAUUGAGUGUGAUGCACCGAGACCAUCAGUAUAAAAUCGGUGCCUGUGGGUUAAAUUUCUUGAGAGCUAGCGUAUUUGAGGAUUGGGAAUUGUGGUGGCCAUGAGGAACCCCUGCAUUUGGUGUUGCUUGGUUCUGCUGACCUUGGUGGUCUGCGACAGUUGUUUGCACGAAGAGAGGAAACAUCUUAUGGACAUUUGCGAUGCGUUCCUUUGGCCGGCUGGCAAUCCGCCUGACUGGAGUAGCAGAGAUUGCUGCCGGUGGGAGAGGGUGACCUGCAGCUCCAUCACAGGGCGUGUCACGGCCCUUGAUCUUGAUGCAGCUUAUCCGUCGUGGUAUGGCCUACUCAACUGCAGUAUGUUCCUUCCAUUCCGUGAGCUGCAGAAUUUGUCCUUGGGAAAUGCCGGCAUCGCGGGAUGCAUGCCUGGUGCAGGUUUUGAAGUAUGGUCUAAUUUACGCCAACUGGAAAUCCUCGAUCUAUCUGAAAAUGAGUUGAAUGAUAGUAGUAUCAUGCCCUUGGUUGGACUUGCAUCUCUGCGUUCCCCAUUCCUCGGUGGGAACGCCAUAAAGAAUGACUUUACUGUCCAAAGAUUAAGCAAAAUGAAGCUGGAUAUUCUUGAUCUAAGUUGGAAUGGAAUUUUCGGGAACAUAUCAAGAGUUCAUUUCAUUUACAGCUGUUUGCAAUAUGACAAGUCUUCGAGAAUUGCAUCUAAACGGAAAUUUUUUCUUUGGGGUGCUCCCAUCAUGUAUCAGAAAUCUAACUUUUCUCAGAGUACUUGAUCUGUCAAAUAAUCUCUUAACGGCAAGGUUCCCCACUAUUUCGUUCGCAAACAUGACGUUACUUGAGCAACUUUCCCUUUCCCAUAACCAGCUUGAAGGUCUGCUACUCCUAAACUCUUUUUCAAAUCAUCUCCAACUGAAAUACCUGAGACUAUCAAGCAACAGUGCCAGCUUCCAAGUGCAAACUGAGAAUCCAGAAGCAAAUAUAUCUAGUCAGCUUCAGGUUCUUGAACUAUCAAACUGCAACCUGAAUGCCAAUUCUGGUGUUGUACCAAGUUUCUUAUCACACCAGCACGGAUUAUACCUAAUUGAUGUUUCGAACAAUAAUCUAAGUGGUCAUUUCCCGACGUGGUUACUGGAGAAUAAUAUAUAUCUAUCAUACUUGAGUGUGAAACAUAACUCAUUUGUUGGAUCACUCAUUCUUCCUUCCACAGUAAAUCAGAACUUAUCAUGGUUAGAUGCAUCUUAUAACAGGCUAAGCGGGGACCUUCCUGUGGACAUCAACAUCACAUUCCCUAAUUUGAGCUACCUAAACUUAUCGAAGAAUUUUUUUCAAGGCAUAUUUCCUUCAGCCGUUAGUCACUUGGAGAAUCUUUCAACUUUAGAUUUAUCUUACAACAACAUAUCGGGUGAAAUAACUGCUAGUUUUCCUACAACUAUGUCGAUGAAUCAUCUAGUGCUAAACGAUAAUAAUAUCUCAGGGGAGAUUCCUACUAGCAUUUGCACCAACGUGAAUCUUGGUGUGGUUGAUUUUAGCAAUAACAAGUUGACUGGAUCCAUUCCAAAUUGCAUAGCUUCAAAUCAUCUAUUUUUUAUCCUCAAUCUAAGAGGGAAUCAUUUAACUGGAUCAAUUCCAACAGGUCUAUCCAGCCUUUUGAAUCUUCAAUUUCUUGAUCUGUCCAAAAACCAUCUGUCUGGCCCCUUGCCUUCUUUGCCCAAUUUGACAUAUCUCCACUUAAGUGAGAAUGAACUGAAUGGAACAUUUCCCCUUGUCUGGCCAUUCGGUGCUAAUUUGAAGACAAUGGAUCUGCGAUAUAACCAAUUCAGUGGUGCAAUCCCAAGAUGUAUAGAUGAAACUUUUCCAGAGUUACGAAUACUAUUGCUUAAGGGAAACAUGUUCGAAGGGAUGGUUCCAAACCAAGUGUGUCUACUUACCUAGCCCUGUCUUUUCACAUGGACAACUUUAUGUCGCACUCUCACGUGUAACAUCGCCUGAUGGUCUUCGUAUUCUAAUUGAGAAUAGUCCAACUGAGCAUGUGACCAGCACUCACAAUGUUGUUUACAAAGAAAUAUUUAACGAUCUGGAUCAACAAGGAAUGCAUACAUGAUUACAGGAUUCUUUAUCUGAAACCUCUGCCUUGUCAAAGCAGCACGCAGUUGGUAUUAUUACAAUAGUUCAGUUCUUUCCUGUCUAUUUUAUGUGAUCUUCACACUCAACUUUCCUCUAAUAUAUGCCUUCUGGUAUCCAUGGUUUCUUCCUGCCAUCAUACGAAGAACCAAGCAUCCAGCCAUCUCAAUGAUCAUUAUAAAUUUCAUUUUUCCAUCAGCAGGUGUUCUGCUAGAAAAUAUAUCAAUGCACCUCUAUGCCCUAUUAUGUACCUUUUGGCUUGCAAGAGUGUUCUACGAGAUAAAUUAUUUGUCUCACUCACUUGUAUGCCUGCCAUGUAAAUAAUAUAACUAUUUUAAUUGCCAACUGACUACCGUCAUCAGUUCUUUUUGUCCGAUGAAAUAACAUAUCUUACAUAUAUUAUAUGCUUUAGUAAGUAAACUUCCAGUAAUAUUUUUGUUGUCAUGUGAAAUAUUAAAAAUAUAUGUAUUCACAUUUAUAUUAA